This 99-nucleotide ribosomal RNA is filed under the name uncultured bacterium. RNAcentral's name for it is "partial 16S ribosomal RNA". The record is from RNAcentral.
UUCCCGGGUCUUGUACACACCGCCCGUCAAGCCAUGAAAGUCGCCAAUACCUGACGUGUUGCCUCGCGCAGCCCUAAGGUAGGGGAGAUGAUUGGGGUU